AGCUGUCUGGCUCCUGGCACUGCCAUGGGCUCCAGGCUCCUCUGUUGUGUGGCCCUGUGUCUCCUGGGGGCAGGUCCAGUGGAGUCUGAAGUCAUUCAAACCCCCAAGCACCUGGUCAAAGCACCCAGUCAAGCAGUGACUCUGAGAUGUUCCUAUGAGUCUGGACACAACUACGUAUACUGGUAUCAGCAGAAACAAGGCCAGGGCCCUCAGUUCAUGGUGCAGUAUUAUAAUGGGCAGUUGAAUGAGAAGGGAAUUCUCCCUGCCCUGUUCUCAGUCCAGCAGAAGUCCAAGAACCAUCACUCUGAGUUGACAGUGAGCUCCUUGAAGCUGGAGGACUCAGCCCUGUAUCUCUGUGCCAGCAGCAUAGCACAGCCCUGCACCACCAGCAGUCUGGAACACAAAAACCUUCCUGCCCAGCUCAGGAAGUGAUGAAGGCUGGGGUUGGGGGUGGGGGGGACAUCCAGGAAGGCUGGCUCAGUCUGGGACAGAGGACAGCAUCUCUGUUGCUUAUUAAAGUGAU
This is a non-coding RNA of Erinaceus europaeus (western European hedgehog), 523 nucleotides long. The record is from the annotation of a RefSeq genome assembly. NCBI's taxonomy places the organism in Eukaryota, Metazoa, Chordata, Mammalia, Eulipotyphla, Erinaceidae.